RNAcentral lists this ribosomal RNA (481 nucleotides) under uncultured bacterium. RNAcentral describes it as "partial 16S ribosomal RNA". It matches the Rfam family "Bacterial small subunit ribosomal RNA", at positions 28 to 523 of the family's 1533-position model. The record is from RNAcentral.
GACGAACGCUGGCGGCGUGCUUAACACAUGCAAGUCGAACGGUAAGGCUCCAGCUUGCUGGGGUACACGAGUGGCGAACGGGUGAGUAACACGUGGGUGACCUGCCCUGCACUUCGGGAUAAGCCUGGGAAACUGGGUCUAAUACCGGAUAGGACUGCACCGUGAGGGUGUGGUGGAAAGUUUUUUCGGUGUGGGAUGGGCCCGCGGCCUAUCAGCUUGUUGGUGGGGUAAUGGCCUACCAAGGCGGCGACGGGUAGCCGGCCUGAGAGGGUGGACGGCCACAUUGGGACUGAGACACGGCCCAGACUCCUACGGGAGGCAGCAGUGGGGAAUAUUGCACAAUGGGCGGAAGCCUGAUGCAGCGACGCCGCGUGGGGGAUGACGGCCUUCGGGUUGUAAACUCCUUUCACCAUCGACGAAGGGUUUCUGACGGUAGAUGGAGAAGAAGCACCGGCUAACUACGUGCCAGCCGCCGCAGUAA